GUGAGGAAUAUUGGUCAAUGGGCGGGAGCCUGAACCAGCCAAGUCGCGUGAAGGAAGAAGGAUCUAUGGUUCGUAAACUUCUUUUGCAGGGGAAUAAAGUGCAGGACGUGUCCUGUUUUGUAUGUACCCUGAGAAUAAGGAUCGGCUAACUCCGUGCCAGCAGCCGCGGUAAUACGGAGGAUCCGAGCGUUAUCCGGAUUUAUUGGGUUUAAAGGGUGCGUAGGUGGUUUGAUAAGUCAGCGGUGAAAGUUUGCAGCUUAACUGUAAAAAUGCCGUUGAAACUGUCGGACUUGAGUGUAAAUGAGGUAGGCGGAAUGCGCGGUGUAGCGGUGAAAUGCAUAGAUAUCACGCAGAACUCCGAUUGCGAAGGCAGCUUACUAAGCUACAACUGACACUGAAGCACGAAAGCGUGGGGAUCAAACAGGAUUAGAAACCCGGGUAGUCC
RNAcentral lists this ribosomal RNA (445 nucleotides) under uncultured bacterium. Its description in RNAcentral is "partial 16S ribosomal RNA". It matches the Rfam family "Bacterial small subunit ribosomal RNA", at positions 354 to 796 of the family's 1533-position model. The record is from RNAcentral.